Molecule: long non-coding RNA, 4370 nt
Filed under: Daucus carota (carrot)
Lineage: Eukaryota; Viridiplantae; Streptophyta; Magnoliopsida; Apiales; Apiaceae
Description: long non-coding RNA (DCAR_LNC006764)
Source: RNAcentral
UUUGCUCACAGCCUUCCACCGAUUUGUGCUCAACAAAAUCAAUUUGCUACAAUACACUCGAUGAAAAUCAAUUGCUCUCCCAGUCUGCUCAAUCUCUCAAUUGCUCCUCAUCUCUCGUUUCUCUCUCAAUCAAUCUCUCGGCAGGCUUCUUAUCUUAAUCUCAAUCUCAAUCUGAAUCUCUGGGUCUGCUCAAUGUCUCUAGUGCUCUCUGUGUCUGCUUCAAAUACAUGAAUUCACUGGUUUUUUGGUCGAUUGGGACAUAUCUCAAAAAUUAUUCAGCGGUUGGAUUGUAUUUAUUUGCUGGGUUCUUUGGUCUGCUGCAAAACUAGGGUUUUCAUCAAAUUCCUGGUAUGUACUUUUGUGAUUUGUUUUGAAGAUUUGAGUUGUUAAGUAUGUUCCUGGCACGAUUUGGGUGGCUACAUUAUGUCCUGUUUUAAUUUGUUGCAAGCUAUCUUGAUCGAUUGCUUACCCUUUGUUUCUCCUAGCCUGAGCUAAGACAAAGAUACAUCACUUAAUAUAUUUCAGAAUGUUUGUCAAGAAGAGGAACUUAAUCUCUUAUUGUGUUACCAUAAUCUCCACCUCGGAAAGGUGUUGACAAAGACUGCAGACUGCAGUAAUCGAUCUUGAGUGUGUGUUCAAAUGAAUCAGUAACAUUAAGUUGAAAUAGAGGAGAUAUGAUAAAAAUGAAAAAAGGCCUGAAAUAGAGAGAAUAUUAGUAUUCACCAAUCUUUGAUUGAUAGAUAGAUCAUAGGCACUCUUCAUUCAUUAUAGAGAUAAGAAAAGGCUUCAUAUAAAGAAAGCCUUCGAGUAUGGUUUCUUUCACAAUUUUCCAACAACUUGCACCGUUACACUCUAACAGUUUUAUAAGACUCGUGAACAUGUCUCAAAGUUUCCUUAUCUUUAUUCCAUUCUGGUGUUGGCGCAUUAACGACAUGCGUCGAGCUUGUUCCUUGCACAAGUAACUGACAUUAAGCUAUGCUUAGCAAACUCGUCGAUCUCAUAUAUGUAAUAAACCUGGCCUUUAUCAUCAUUGCUGUCUUCUGAAGUAACACUGUCUGCACUAGAAAUGAGGUCUUGCAAGUCUACAUCUGAUAAUGCUUAGUUAUUGUGUAUAGCUUCUUUAGGUCGCAAUUGUUGAAUCCCUGCAAGAUAUAGCAAAUAUUCUUUCUCAGUUUUCUUUUUUGGAUUGUAGAACUCACUGUCAGUUCCAUUAGUUCCCUUCUCAACUUUAGACACUAAUCUUUCUUUCCAUCAUUAUGGCACGUCGUAAUGUACUCUGCAGAGUCUUUCUUGUUUGAGUUGCCACCGUAUCCGUCAUAAUUGGCUGCACUGGCAGUGCGAUAGUAUGUUUGGUAAGUUGAGUCUGCCAGAGAGGGAGUUGUGGAGGUCAGGACAGUGGCAUUGGAAAUAAUUUUGGAUAAAUGGAGCAGGCUGGUUUUUUUUUGUGUGUGUGUGGUCGCUGGUUAUCAUGCUACAAUAGCCAAAUAAUCCUGGCCAAUCACAUAGGAGAUUUGUGCCAAGUCAUUCAGCACAAUAUAAUCUAAUUUUAGACUUGUCACAUUAGAAUAUGUAUAGUUUGAAGGAAGUUUUAUUAGUUUUCUUAAUAAAAAAAUAAAAAUCUGAAAAAUAUGAUAUAGUGUUUCCCUUUUCUUACUCGGAAUAAGGGUGACGGUAUAAGGGGUCGUUUAUUCAAUUUGAAUAAUAUGAAUUAAGUGGUAAGAUUUUUAGAAUAUAUAGCAUUGAUAUACUUGUAAAUUAUUGUAGCUGAUAUUUGUUGAGGCCUAAAAUUUAUAUAAACAAACAAUAUGAUUCAUUAGGCAUAUGUGCAUCCUGAUUAAUUGACUCCUAAACAUAUGGUUAACUGUUGGAAAUUCUAAUAAAUAAAAAUUACUAAAUUAGGUCUUGCUAAAGACUUGUUCUAAUGCCCUUGAUCCUCUGUAGAUGUUCAAAUGCAACACCAAAUGAAUUAUCUACCACAAAAAACUUUCUAUUAAGCAAAAUUUAAAGAUAAGCGGGAAGACAAGACAUGGUUAAUUUCCGGUCCCGAAAUAGCCUAAAAGAUUUCUACAAAUUAAAUUGCCUAAUCACCAACUUAAUAUUUACCCAAGGCAGCAAACAGAGAGAACAUACAUUUGGUUAGAAUUCACAUUACUAUAUCUCUAUGGAUGGACAGUAGGCUUAUUAUUUUCUUGAGGUGAUCUUUGGUUAAUGGCUUUUUCCUUCCACGUCUCCAACAUUAUUAAGACUCUCCUGCUAGUGUUAGAUUCUCGUAUUCUGGAAAUGAAAGUGACAACAUAACUGGAGACUAAAAAACUGCUCUUGACUCUCACAAAUUACUCUUUAAGGUAUGUAGUGUCUAUAAUUAAGGUAGAAGAUGACAGAGCACAAACGUCUAUUAAUAUUAUUAAAGAAAACCAAAACGGAUAAUUAUUAGAGAAAUUUCUCUUUUUGUGCUCAUCUACUCCAGCCUUAUACUGAGAAUUUGUUGGGAAAUAAAAAACAGAUGCUAUGUUUAGUAAAAUCAACGCAAUGGGGUAGUUCUUGAUAAGCCGCCAAAGUACUAGUCAACAAGUCUAGUAUAUCCUGUUUUGUUAAUUAUAGUUGCAGAGGUAUUAUUAUCCCACAUGCGUUAUGUUAGGCUUUUCUCCUAUCUGUCUCCUUUUUUUGAAAUAAACAGGAAGAUUUGGCUGCAAGUUGGACAGGAACAGUUGUGCGUUCUCCAAGAGGGGUCAAGUCAUCCUCUGCAUUUGGUGAUCAGAAGUACAUUUGCUUCAGCAGAGUAUGCUUUCACCACUGGACAGCUCUUAUAGGAGAACUGGGAGUGCUAAUUCGAUGCCGAGAGUUUGGGGAAAAGAAGUAUAGGCUGAAAGAAAUUAUUGAUUCAAAGGUUAUUAAUUUCGUUGACCAUUGACACAUGCUUCUGCAAGUAAGUAAGUUUAAUUAUAUAUUUAUUAUUUAUCUGCAGAAUUUCUCUUCCCCGCUGAAUCAGUAUAUUUUCAUAUUUGAGCCCCGUAUUACAUUAUAAUUUAGUUGCCCUGUUUUUCUUUUUUUUUAUUUCUAGUUCGGCCGCCAGUGCAGUACUUCACUGAGAAACAAUUCUGAUGCCCUGAUCACCUUUUUAUCAUUAAUUCAGGUAAAUACUCUGGAUAGACUAACCCAUGAUCCUCACUUGCUUACAAAAUCAUAUAAUAAAUAUAUUACAAUAAACAAUAGGAAACAGAAGCUGAAUUAUUUGGCCACACAAAAACAGUCCUUCACAAAAAGAUAAAUGCAGUCUAUCUUUUUGUGGCAAUUUAAGUCUAGCACUCGCACUAACUUUAUGCAGCGUUGCCAAUAAAUCUCCACUGGAAGGGUGGACAUCUAGAGUGAAUUUUUGUGAUAAGCUUCACGUUCCAGUAUGUUCUAACGCUUGGCCUGUAUUUUGUUUUAAGUUUACUAUUUCCAAUCCCUUGCAGCUUCCCUUAAAGUGUUCUGUGAAUUAUUAACAGGUUAGAGUUGCUACAGUUGAAAAGUAGACAUGCCUUUUUGAUCCUUAUCUAUCUGUACUGAAGGUGAUAUUUAUUUUUCAGCAGUUUAACCACUUCGUUUACAGGUUUCCUUUUUAGAAAUGUUUGCUCAUUAAAAACACAUAUCUAAGUAUAUCUUUCAGUUGCGAUUUACUUUACUCAUUCUUUUUCAACAACCUUGUGAUUAUAGAAUUAUAAUAUUUGGUGGAAUGGGGAUUACAUUGUGUUGAGUGCAGGUAUCAUUUGAACAUAGGGGAAGCUAUCACUCUGCAGACAAUGUGGAGUCUGGACAAUUCAGUUUUCAGGCAGUGGCAUCGGCUUGCUUGCUUUUUUGCUGUCGAACAUAAGCCUGCUACUGCAGACUGUUUAUUUUGAACGGAAGUCUGGUAUUGAUGCUAAAGAUUAGACUAAUGUUGAGAAAAAAGGCUCAGUCAAUGUAAGCCUUUUUAUAUCUCUUUCUGACACAUCCGUGCACACACAGUUGCAUUUGAUUAUAUUCUGGCUAUUUAAAUAUACAAUGUAAGGGACGGAUAUUAUUAGUCCAAGUAAGGAGGUGUCAUAUACUAGUUUAUAUUCAUAUUCUAACUGUCGUGAAUCCCUUUUUUUUAGGAUGAAGAUGAAGCUUGAAGAAUCGAGUGUUGUUGAAGGAAAGCUUGUUAUCUUGAAUAAAUUAUUAUAAAGAUAUGUGAGGUUACUAGUUAAUAUAGUUUGUUAUAUUUCAUCCGGUCUCUACGUUUCUCAUUGUUUGUUAAUUAGGAUAUCAUAGACUUAGUAUGCACAAGACACUAAUGUAUGGAUAUAUUUCUUUUGGAUGUUGUAUAACAACUUGUACAUAAUACAAUGUAUUGAUUAAUUCCCAUUUAA